RNAcentral lists this transfer RNA (99 nucleotides) under Holothuria poli. RNAcentral describes it as "tRNA-Asp". The stretch from base 28 to 99 matches the Rfam family "tRNA". From Rfam's summary of the family: Transfer RNA (tRNA) molecules are approximately 80 nucleotides in length. Their secondary structure includes four short double-helical elements and three loops (D, anti-codon, and T loops). Further hydrogen bonds mediate the characteristic L-shaped molecular structure. tRNAs have two regions of fundamental functional importance: the anti-codon, which is responsible for specific mRNA codon recognition, and the 3' end, to which the tRNAs corresponding amino acid is attached (by aminoacyl-tRNA synthetases). tRNAs cope with the degeneracy of the genetic code in two manners: having more than one tRNA (with a specific anti-codon) for a particular amino acid; and 'wobble' base-pairing, i.e. permitting non-standard base-pairing at the 3rd anti-codon position. Lineage: Eukaryota; Metazoa; Echinodermata; Holothuroidea; Aspidochirotida; Holothuriidae. The record is from RNAcentral.
ACCCCAUUCUUUUUCAGACAUCUUGUCGAAGUUUUAGUUAAAAUUCUAUAACGCUGGCCUGUCAGACCAGAAUGGUAAGUGAAAAUCUUGCAAACUUCG